UUUAACCUGCCAGGGAAGAGUUCCCAUUCAGUAAGACCUGACCAGGGAAUAAGAGGUUGAUUUCAGUGAACUCCCAUCAAAUGAAUAUUGCUCUAGCCAGAAGCCUGGGAACUUUUUUUUCUCUUUUUAAAUAAAAUGCAAUGGUAAAGCAUAUUUGCAUUAAAAUAUUACACUAACCAAGGCUGGUAAGAACUGUAAAUUAUUGGAGUGGCGUAAUAGAGCAUGAGUUUUUUUUUUUUUUUUUUUUUUUUUUUAAGACAGGCCUUCGGGGUAAUAACAAGGGUUGAGGCUCACGACAGUGCCAAAUAAGCUUUAGACAGCAUAAUAGUCUACAAAGAAAGCCACAGAGCACUAAUGUGAAGGAAGAGCUGUCCACCACAUGCAGCAAAAAUCACCAAAGGUCAUUUUAUGGUAGCAAUUGUGACAUAAAAUUGGUGGUCAUGCUACAUGUCUAAUACUCAGCACAGCUUUAUAAAUGAUGGGCCCCUAGCGAUGGCUGUCAUUAAGUGCUUUCAUCAUAAUAAACUUUAAACUGUUGGCUUUAUGAAUCGCCAGCUAGCUUCAGCUGUUCGUUGGAUGGAGCUUGCAGUGCCUUAAGUGUGACAAGACCUAUUAGGAAUUGCAACCAUGUUUCAAGCGUACUUGGCUUCCCCACUCCUGGGGUGAUUGCUGCCUAUUAAACGGCGUCUGGGAAGAUUUUCCUCCAGCAAUCUCUGAUCAAGAGCUUUUUUGGGCUUUGACCUGCAUUUCCUUCAAGACUUUCUCUGAGGAGUUUUAUAAGAGCAAAACUCCAGAGGAUUUAUAGCCACUUCUGAUUAAUACCUUUCCAGUUUUUCUAGCAACUCUCCCACUGCUGCAUAGAGAAAAGCUUUCAUUGUUCCUGAGGUGCUUAUUUGUGACCUUUUCUCUGCUUCCUGAUUCCCUCUAACGUGUUCUCUCAGUGAAAUCCUCGGGGUGGAACCAAGACAGUGAGGUUGUUACAGCGGGAGAGACAGAGGAGGAAAGACGGAGGCUUUUAUAUUUUUAAAGAAUGACAUGCAGAGCAGCCUGGCCCCGCCCAUUUAAAAUGCCCGCUGUGACGUCACCAGCCGCCCGCGUACCCAACGCAGCCUUAAUGAGCCCUCCGUGUAAACUGAGCCGACACGUAAAGAUUCCACGAUUCAAAUUACACUUUCAUUAACCUUUAGCAUAGGAAGUCUUUCAGUUUCCAUAAAUCUUACAGUGGCUUACCGUCUGUCCUACUGAUGUGAAUAAUAGAUGUUUGGGGAAAUCGCUCUUUAAAAACCCAGGGUAUUUAAUUUACGAGGGCUAAAUACAUAUUUCAGAUUCCCUCAGCAAGGACUUUAAUUACUUCUUGUUGGUUUUUCUAACUUGGAGGUCGCCCCCACCCCUCCAGUGUUCCUCUGCGCCACUCAGAUGUUUCAGAGAUGGGAAAAGCUUGCAACGUCUAAGUCCCUGCCUUAAUACUCAUUAGUCUUUCUUUUGAGCUAAGUAAUGUCCUCAAGAUAGUUAGGGGAACGUCUCAGGUGUGGACCAUUACACAAUUAAAUUAGCGAACCUUGGAGGGAUCGGAUUAGGACUCAGCAGGGGACACCUGGGGAUUCUAGGGCCGAGCCGGCUUUCUGAAUAGCAGGGCUCUGGCCAUGAAUAAGCAGUGAGGGUCGGCCCGCUAGGUAGGCUCGGUCACAAACUCGUCUUAGCGAAUAAAGUACUGCAGGCUAAACCGUUUUUCCCCCCUAGGAGUAGGUUUCUUUGGCUGUCGGAGAGAACAGGAAACCCAUCAGCCAAUGAGUCCGGCAGAGGGGAAAACUGGAGUCGGAGGACGCGUGGCUUUUCGCUUACAAAGGCAUCCGCCCAUCCCUUCCCGCGAGGCGGCCAAGGCUGGACCCGUGCAUUUGGAAGCUGCGGCCCAGGUGCAAGCGGUGGGGGCGGGCCGGGCCGCAGAAUGCCCCCGAACAAAGGCGCCUCCAGGGGCCCCGCGCAGAGGUCACCUGCUGCCUCCAGGGCAGAUUAAGGCGGACUGGCGAGGGCGUUUGGAGGAAAUGGUGCUGGUCUUUGGGAAAUCAAUUCGUCCCACCCUUAAUAGGGCAUGUGGCCCUCCCUCCUUGGGAGUUAGUUCCAGGCCCUGGGCUUCCAGGUCUUUCCAAAUCCCCUUCUGGAAGAGGCGGCCCCUCGGCCUGCCCGUGCUCCCUGAGAAUUUCUUGUGCUGUCGGCAACGUCGCACCUCCCUUUUCUCCCUCCUUCGGGCUCUCCCGCCCCUCUCUACCCAGGCUUCUUUCAUAACGAGGCUGGAAGUGGAACUUUCCCCCCACUCCCUUACUUCGCGAUUUCUUUUUUCCCAGUGACCUGGGCUGCACUUUGCCCCCACUCCCUGCCUGCCAAUCUCCUCCGGGUUAGGGCCUCUCUCUUUCCAUUCUUGCGAGCUCCCCCUACUUGAGAGCUCCAGGAGGCCCAGCCUUCCAGAAUCCGAUCUCCUUCCGACACUGCAGCCCCCCUGCGGAGGAAGGAAGAGGCCUCCUCGGAAUGAAUGACGGAGCAGCAAAGCAACCCCCAGCGAGCUGCAGGAGCCAGGGUCCCUCCUUAAGUGGCUCUUCCGUUACAUUUUGAGGUGAAGCUGGAGGAAGAGGAGGAAAAAGGCCCCCGUGACCUAUAUCCUCAAGGUCUGUUUCUCCUGGGCUCUGCGACAGGAAAGAAUCAGAAUGCUUUCUGGAGGAAGAAGAAAAACCCAAGUGCUGAUUGUCCCUUUAAGCCAUUCCAAUCACAGGCUCGCAGUUAAAAUAAUGCUCACCUACUGAGCUUCCAACUGGGCCAUCUACCUUUUUCGCUGGCGGGGUCAUGCCCAGUCAAGCCUGAUGAGGCUGCCACCGGCCCGCGAGCUCGCUGCAGGCCGGGCUACACCUGUUUAUCACCAAGUCACUUCAUUUCCCUUCCCCUCCUCCCUGCUUGAAAAGGAGCAUUAAUUAAACCGGUAAACAAGCCGGCUCCCAUUCUAAAUCAGGGCUGCAGGCAACGGAGAGAUAACUUGGGCUCCGGAGAAGAGGGAUUUUCUGUUAAUUUA
Non-coding RNA from Sus scrofa (pig), 3058 nucleotides. The record is from RefSeq and is a predicted model, not a curated record. Lineage: Eukaryota; Metazoa; Chordata; Mammalia; Artiodactyla; Suidae.